Molecule: long non-coding RNA, 2901 nt
Organism: Capsicum annuum
Lineage: Eukaryota; Viridiplantae; Streptophyta; Magnoliopsida; Solanales; Solanaceae
Exons: 2
Source: RefSeq, a predicted model, not a curated record
UACACAUAUAAUGCUCUACACAAUGCAUUUAAUUAUUUUCUCUUUCCCAAAAAGAAGGCUCAAAAGUACUUCUCUCUUAAAGUCAAACAAAAACUUUACUAUUUCUUAUAAAAAGAAAAAAACAAAAGGGGAGCAGCUUUCUUUCCUUCUUCUGAAGCCGCAUAAAUCAAACCUUAUAUUUUUUAUUUUUUUUGUUCUUAAAAAUUACAAAAGUGCUUCAUAGCAUUUGAAACCAUAACAAUCACAACAGCAAAUUAAAGUGAAAGGUCAAAUAAAAAAAAUUGAUGUGUCUUUCUGAAUUGGGGUGCGUCCAACCAGAUUUUAGCGACGCGUUUGACAGGCAUCUAACAGGAUCCGCCAAAAAAAAACCCGCCAUGGCGGCGCUUCUAAUCAGAUCCAAAAAUUCAUACAACCAAUAAUCAAGAUUUUCUCACAGGUAUGUUCAUACAUAAAUUUCUCUUAAACUUAAAAAAAUAACAUGUAAAAACGGGGCAAUAAACCCGUCUCUGAUGCCAUUGUUAGUUUAUUCGGAGCAAAAACAUAAAUCAGUGUGUACCUUAAACUUGCAGCGGAAUUUGAUUUUGCAACCGAAAAGAUCUGCCCCACGUCUUCUUUGAAUCUCUUGGAAACAAAGUUAUAGAAUCACAAACUAAAUGCCUUAAAGUUUCACUGCCUUGUUGUUGUUUUCCAUUUGGCCUUUUGUUACUGUUUUUCUGACUUUUACAUAGGAAAAGAAGUGGUAAUAUAUUGGGAAAGUGGAACAGUAACCGUUCCCCCCAAGUUUUAAAAUUAAACUUAUCUCUUCUUUUUCCCCUUAUUUUGUCAGAUAAUUCAAAAACAAAUUAAAAAACUAGGUCGAGUCGGGUUGGUUCGGGUCACAUGAGCGACCCAUGACCCUUAAUUCAACAUAUCCUUUUAACUCAAGCGAAAUUCUUGUUGGUGUCGUGCCUGUUCAAAUUGUUGCUUCUUUACACAAAAAAUUUUCUUUGCAAACAACAACAAAAUAAAAAAGAAAACCCAUAACUCAAAUUCAUACAAUUCCACCUUUUAACACAAAUCCCACAACUUCUCCACACUCUCCUCCCCCAAAACAAAAAAUAAAAAGACCCAUGUAAUGAAAAAUAGAAAAGAAAAACUGCAUACCUUAUGACCCUUUUAACAGUAAUGCCAUGAUAUUAUUUGUAGACUAAAAGUCCCAACCCUAUUUAAAGUCAAUUAGGAGUCUAUCUACUCAUUCAUAUAUCAUACACGCCUUGCCUUCUAUAACAACUCUCAAGUCACACUAAUGGAUCCCUCUAAGGGACUCAAAAUUGAAGCUGGCGAACGUAUUGAUAGAGUUACAAAUCUUCCCAUUAAUGUCAAACACCAAAUUCAGGAGAAUUUGACUAUUGAUGAAGCUGCAAAAAUGAGUGUUUUGUGUAAAUUGUAGAGACACGUUUGGGCUUCAAUCCCCAACCUCAUAUUUUCUCAGUUUUGCCCCAGUAAGUGUUGGUGUAUAUUCAUUUUAUUAUGAAAUUAAUAUAUUAAGUGCAUAUGUUAGUGGGUAUAAAUUGUGUAUUCUGAGUAUUAUUACUUACAUUUGUUAGUGGAAGAAUGUGGUCAUAAGUUUCUUGAAACUCCUAUAACCACUAAGUCUUUAUUUUUCCAUUAUACUAUGUAAUUAUAAUUGUAACUCAUGUAACAUCCAACUAUUCAUGAACCCACUUUACUACACCACAUUCUUCCUAUUCAAUACAAGGAUGAAUACCUCACCUAUAAAUAGAGGUGGUCUUGCAUGUUAUAUUGCAUGGACUAGAAAAUAUGAUAAGUGUGAAAUAGAUUAUAGUGUGUAGCAGUGAAAGAGAGAGUUGAGACAAAGAAAAUAUUCUAAGUCUACAACUAUAUUCACUUUAUAAAUGAGAGUUAUUAUAUUAGUGAAAGAAAGAGUUGAGACAAAGAAAACAAUCUAAGUCUUUAACUUUAUUCACUAUACAAAGAAAGUAAAUAUAUGUUGAAGGAAGGUGUAGAGCUUUGGACUCUUCAACUAAUCCAGAGUUGUUUGAGUUGUACAUCAUUGAUGGACUGUUGUAUCCUGGAGGGGAUAAGUCACUAGAUAUACUGUUGGAUCGGUGUAGAUUAUGUCACAGUGGGCUUGAAUCUUCUUAAAGAAAGCGAGAUAUCCGCGUCUCAGCCAAGAAGAAGAUUAUUUUAUUUUCUUUGCUUUUAUUCAUUUUAUUUUCAACUGUAAUCAUUUAUUGUAAAUGUGGUAUAUUACACCAACAAUUUUAAGGAGAUUCAUGUUUUGGUAUUGUUUACAAAAUCAUGGAUAUCGAGAUGAGAGAUCUCAAAAGAUAGAUGGCAAGAGAUAACAAGUAUCUUUCUAUUUGCUCAACUCAAGGGGAUGAAAGAUAAAAAUACUUGCUCAACUCAAGGGGAUGAAAGAUUCAAAACUAAGGCCUUAGCAAGAAAAUAGUCUGAAUUACAUCGAGGGGGAGGAAGAAAGCCUAUAAAAAAUAUCAUGAGUUAUAUAUAUGGAAACCCAACUUGGAGACUAGAGAUCCUAUAACCAAGUUCAAGGGGAAGAACGAAUCAUAUAAUGACUUGGUGUGAGAUGCACUAUUGUUUAAUUCUUCCUAUGAUGUGAGUGCAUUUUAUUCCUGUAAUGAUUUGUGAAGGUUGAGUCUAAGAACUCUUAAUGAAAUUUUGUAUCUCUUAUGAGUGGGGUGUCGAAAUUACAGGACCACCCUUGAAAGAUUUCACCUAAAUGAGUGUGGAAGUAGGCCACUUCCUAUGAGAAUGAGGCUUAUUCUCAAAAAACGCUCAUGAAAAAUUGGGCUAGCACAUGGCGUAAUGUGCUGCCUAUUAAAGCUUAUGUCAACACUUUUAUUAUUGUGUAUAAGCAGUAAUACUUUAUUUCCCUUA